GCGGGUGUAGCUCAAUGGUAGAGCGGCGGCUUCCCAAGCCGUUGACGUGGGUUCGAUUCCCAUCACCCGCUCCA
Molecule: transfer RNA, 74 nt
Filed under: Solimonas fluminis
Lineage: Bacteria; Pseudomonadati; Pseudomonadota; Gammaproteobacteria; Nevskiales; Nevskiaceae
Also listed under: 1 other name
Description: tRNA-Gly
Rfam family: tRNA
About the family: Transfer RNA (tRNA) molecules are approximately 80 nucleotides in length.
Source: RNAcentral